CCUACGGGUGGCAGCAGUGAGGAAUAUUGGUCAAUGGACGAGAGUCUGAACCAGCCAAGUAGCGUGAAGGAUGACUGCUCUAUGGGUUGUAAACUUCUUUUAUAAAGGAAUAAAACGAGGCACGUGUGCCUUUUUGCAUGUACUUUAUGAAUAAGGAUCGGCUAACUCCGUGCCAGCAGCCGCGGUAAUACGGAGGAUCCGAGCGUUAUCCGGAUUUAUUGGGUUUAAAGGGAGCGUAGAUGGGUUGUUAAGUCAGUGGUGAAAGUUUGCGGCUCAACCGUAAAAUUGCAAUUGAUACUGGCAGUCUUGAGUGCAGUUGAGGUAAGCGGAAUUCGUGGUGUAGCGGUGAAAUGCUUAGAUAUCACGAAGAACCCCGGUUGCGAAGGCAGCUUACUAAACUGUGACUGACAUUGAUGCUCGAAAGUGUGGGUAGCAAACAGGAUUAGAUACCCCAGUAGUC
This 460-nucleotide ribosomal RNA is filed under the name uncultured bacterium. RNAcentral describes it as "partial 16S ribosomal RNA". It matches the Rfam family "Bacterial small subunit ribosomal RNA", at positions 338 to 795 of the family's 1533-position model. The record is from RNAcentral.